GAUGAACGCUGGCGGCGUGCCUAAUACAUGCAAGUCGAGCGAACAGAUAAGGAGCUUGCUCCUUUGACGUUAGCGGCGGACGGGUGAGUAACACGUGGGUAACCUACCUGUAAGACUGGGAUAACUUCGGGAAACCGGAGCUAAUACCGGAUAACAUUUGGAACCGCAUGGUUCUAAAGUGAAAGAUGGUUUUGCUAUCACUUAUAGAUGGACCCGCGCCGUAUUAGCUAGUUGGUAAGGUAACGGCUUACCAAGGCAACGAUACGUAGCCGACCUGAGAGGGUGAUCGGCCACACUGGAACUGAGACACGGUCCAGACUCCUACGGGAGGCAGCAGUAGGGAAUCUUCCGCAAUGGGCGAAAGCCUGACGGAGCAACGCCGCGUGAGUGAUGAAGGGUUUCGGCUCGUAAAACUCUGUUAUUAGGGAAGAACAAACGUGUAAGUAACUGUGCACGUCUUGACGGUACCUAAUCAGAAAGCCACGGCUAACUACGUG
This 497-nucleotide ribosomal RNA is filed under the name uncultured bacterium. RNAcentral describes it as "partial 16S ribosomal RNA". It matches the Rfam family "Bacterial small subunit ribosomal RNA", at positions 28 to 507 of the family's 1533-position model. The record is from RNAcentral.